RNAcentral lists this ribosomal RNA (354 nucleotides) under uncultured bacterium. Its description in RNAcentral is "partial 16S ribosomal RNA". It matches the Rfam family "Bacterial small subunit ribosomal RNA", at positions 338 to 689 of the family's 1533-position model. The record is from RNAcentral.
CCUACGGGAGGCAGCAGUGAGGAAUAUUGGUCAAUGGACGCAAGUCUGAACCAGCCAUGCCGCGUGCAGGAAGACGGCCCUAUGAGUUGUAAACUGCUUUUGUACGAGGGUAAACGCAGAUACGCGUAUCUGUCUGAAAGUAGCGUACGAAUAAGGAUCGGCUAACUCCGUGCCAGCAGCCGCGGUAAGACGGAGGAGUCAAGCGUUAUCCGGAUUUAUUGGGUUUAAAGGGUGCGUAGGCGGUCGGAUAAGUUAGAGGUGAAAUCCCGUGGCUCAACUUCGGAAUUGCCUCUGAUACUGUUCGACUUGCUAGUGGUUGCGGUAGUCGAACUGUAUGGUGUCUCGGCUACCUGC